RNAcentral lists this ribosomal RNA (993 nucleotides) under Triticum aestivum (bread wheat). Its description in RNAcentral is "partial small subunit ribosomal RNA". The record is from RNAcentral. Lineage: Eukaryota; Viridiplantae; Streptophyta; Magnoliopsida; Poales; Poaceae.
AUGUCUCCUCAGCCUACCUUAGCCACCACCACCACGCCUGCUACUGGGCCUAAUGCUUCCUAUUUCCAAGCAGCUCCUGUUAGCCAAGAGACUAUCCAGCGAACGGAGGUUCUUCUCCACCUGUACGCCUACCAGCACGCCCAAGGAAAACCAAAUGCUAACCAGACUGUCAUAGUGGAUCCAAAGCUCCCUGCGUGUUUCGGUGCCCUUGCUGCUAAUCUUGUUGCGCACGCUCAAGGUUUGCACAUUGGUGCUGGUAUGACCAAAGAAAAUUGGUUCAUUUGUUUCAACAUGGUGUUUGUGGACCAAAGGUUUAUGGGUUCCAGCUUCAAGGUGAUGGGAGAUUUUCGAGGAAACGCAGGUGAAUGGGCAAUUGUUGGUGGGACGGGAGAGUUUGCAUAUGCACAAGGUGUCAUAACCUUUAACAAGACCUGGUCGGCCCAGGCAAAUGUUAGGGAGCUUCAUGUUCGUGCUUUGUGUCUCUCCUUCUCAAAAGCACCGGAAACACCUUGCUCAAGGACACCACGACAGAGCUCUGUCACCAAGAUCGGCCCAUGGGGUAAAAUAAGUGGAGAAUUUCUUGACGUUCCCACGACACCGCAACGUCUAAAGUGUGUGACCAUCCGCCAUGGAGUUGUCAUUGAUUCACUUGCAUUUUCCUUCGUCGACCAAGCUGGUGGACAACAUAACGUUGGCCCAUGGGGUGGGCCAUGCGGGCACAACAAGGACACAAUCGAGCUUGCUCCAUCGGAGAUUGUGACAGAAGUCUCUGGAACAAUUGGUGUAUUUGGAGAAGCCAAUGUCGAGUACAAUGCCAUAACAUCACUAACCAUUACCACAAAUGUCCGGACGUACGGGCCCUUUGGAGAACCGCAGUGUACUCGUUUCAGUGUUCCCGUGCAGGACAAUAGCAGCAUCGUGGGUUUCUUCGUGUGCGCUCUGAAAUACGUGGAGGCGCUCGGGGUUUACGUGUGUCCACCUGUUUCAAACUAG